Molecule: RNA transcript, 788 nt
Organism: Cebus imitator (Panamanian white-faced capuchin)
Lineage: Eukaryota; Metazoa; Chordata; Mammalia; Primates; Cebidae
Gene name: PRELI domain-containing protein 1, mitochondrial-like
Exons: 1
Source: RefSeq, a predicted model, not a curated record
AUGCUGCGUGGGUGCUGAGCCCGCUCCGGCCCGGACGAUGGUGACGUAUUUCCUGGGCCAGAGCGUGCUCCAGAGUUCCUGGGACCAAGUGUUCGCCGCCUUCUGGCAGCGGUACCCGAAUCCCUACAGACACAGUACACGGGAGGUGACCCCUGACCAGAGACUGCUGUCCCGGCGACUCCUGACCAAGACCAACAGGAUGCCCCGCUGGGCCGAGCGACUGUUUCCUGCCGAUGUUGCUCACUCGGUGUACGUCCUGGAGGACUGUAUUGUGGACCCACAGAAUCAGACCAUGACCACCUUCACCUGGAACAUCAACCACGCCCGGCCCGUGGUGGUGGAGGAACGAUGUGUUUACUGUGUGAACUCUGACAACAGUGGCUGGACCGAAAUCCGCCAUGAAGCCUGGGUCUCCUCGCUUAUUUGGUGUCUCCAGAGCUGUCCAGGAAUUCGGUCUUGUCUGGUUCAAAAGCAGCGUGACCAAGGCUAUGAAGGGCUUUGAAUAUAUCUUGGCGAAGCUACAAGGCGAGGCCCCUUCCAAAACACUCGUUGAGACAGCCAAGGAAGCCAAGGAGACUGCUAAGGAGACGGCACUGGCAGCUACAGAGAAGGCCAAGGACCUCGCCAGCAAGGCGGCCACCAAGAAGCAGCAGCAGCAGUUUGUGUACCAGCCCCCCACCACCACAGCACCCCAGACAGCUUGGCUUUGCCCCGCUGCCCUCCCUCCAUUGUACUUUAUCGUUAAAAAUCAACUUCCAUCCCUAUCUACUGUCUGGGUGGUGGGUUGA